This 256-nucleotide ribosomal RNA is filed under the name uncultured bacterium. RNAcentral describes it as "partial 16S ribosomal RNA". It matches the Rfam family "Bacterial small subunit ribosomal RNA", at positions 524 to 776 of the family's 1533-position model. The record is from RNAcentral.
UACAGAGGGUGCAAGCGUUGUUCGGAAUUACUGGGCGUAAAGCGCGUGUAGGCGGCAUGGCAAGUCGGGUGUGAAAGCCCUCAGCUUAACUGAGGAAGUGCGCCCGAAACUGCCGUGCUUGAGUGCCGGAGAGGGUGGCGGAAUUCCCCCAAGUAGAGGUGAAAUUCGUAGAUAUGGGGGAGGAACACCGGUGGCGAAGGCGGCCACCUGGACGGUAACUGGACGCUGAGACGCGAAAGCGUGGGGAGCAAACAGG